Molecule: non-coding RNA, 348 nt
Organism: Pelobates cultripes (western spadefoot toad)
Lineage: Eukaryota; Metazoa; Chordata; Amphibia; Anura; Pelobatidae
Source: the annotation of a GenBank genome assembly
CAGAAAUUCCCUCAAUGUUAGCUGAUUGGCGUAUUAUUUCUGCCAGAGGUUCCAUGGCCAACACAAAUAAAAGUGGCAACAAUGGACAUCCCUGUCUUGUGCCGUUAGACAAUUUAAAUGCUUCAGACAUGAAUCCAGCCCCCGAAACUCUAACUGUAGGCCUGCAAUAUAAUGCAAGCAAGGCCCUGAUGAAAGGAUCAGGCAAAUUGAAACGCGACAGUACCUCCCUAAGGUAAUCCCAAUGAAUUCUAUUGAAAGCCUUCUCCGCAUCUAAAGAAAGAAGCAGAGAAGGCGUGAAAUCCACUCGGAUCUGGUGUAUCAAAUUCAUAAAUCAGCGUCUGUUGUCCG